RNAcentral lists this ribosomal RNA (253 nucleotides) under uncultured bacterium. Its description in RNAcentral is "partial 16S ribosomal RNA". It matches the Rfam family "Bacterial small subunit ribosomal RNA", at positions 524 to 776 of the family's 1533-position model. The record is from RNAcentral.
UACGUAGGCAGCAAGCGUUGUUCGGAAUUACUGGGCGUAAAGAGUGUGUAGGCGGUGCUCUAAGUUCGGUGUGAAAUCUCCCGGCUCAACUGGGAGGGUGCGCCGGAAACUGGAAUGCUUGAGCGUGGGAGAGGAAAGCGGAAUUCCUGGUGUAGCGGUGAAAUGCGUAGAUAUCAGGAGGAACACCGGUGGCGAAGGCGGAUCUCUGGGCCAUUACUGACGCUGAGGAGCGAAAGCGUGGGGAGCGAACAGG